Molecule: long non-coding RNA, 1084 nt
Filed under: Ananas comosus (pineapple)
Lineage: Eukaryota; Viridiplantae; Streptophyta; Magnoliopsida; Poales; Bromeliaceae
Description: long non-coding RNA (ACOM_LNC009785)
Source: RNAcentral
AUGCGUAUUUUAUUCAGUAUAAUAACCCAAUAAUAAAAGUCCCACUGCCAUAUUACCAAUAGCAUAAAAGACUUUGUACUAUCGAGUCUUCUAUCGUCAAAUUUAAUUUUUUAAUUAUUUUAUCCAUUAGAGUGCACUAUCCAACCAAUCACCCACUCCAUCCUAAAGUGCCCACAUCAUCCUAAUCGUACAUUUCUCAAUCCAACAACUAAAAAACUAAUAGCACUAAUUGCUUGGUGCUAUUGAUAGUAUUUCAACCUAGUUCUAAUAAUAAUAUUGUCUGUAUAUUCUUCAAAUACCACUCCUGCGGUUUCACAUUUUCUCACUUUAGUAUUCAGUGGUUUAAUUAAAGUGUAUCAAUUUAGUACCCCGCAGUUUCAUUUUUUUCUUUUCGUUAGCUUCUCCGUUAACAUUUCAUUAAAUUAUAUACAAAAAAAACUUCAGAUACCUCACCUAGGUUUAUCGAAUAUUUAUUUUAGUACCUUUUAGUUUUAACUUUGUUAUUGAUUUAACGAAAACAAAAUUAGUGGAGGAGAUAAUAAAAAGAGAAAAAUGAAACCACGGGUACUAAAUUGAUACACUUUAAAUCACAAAGUACUAAAAUAAAAAAGUGCGAAACCACAGGGAUGGUAUUUGAAGUUUUCCUACUUAUUAUAGACUAUAUAUAUAUAUAUUAUAUAUUAUAUAUAUAUAUAGAGUCCGGCUAGGGUGUUUUUAAGCACUUGAUGUUUGUAGGUUUUCCACCAUUAGAUCUAUUCAUUUAACUAUUUUCAUACAUUAGAUUAUAGUAUUCAACCAACUAUCCACUCAACCCUAGGGGACCGUUAUCAUUCUACCCGCACAUUCCUUAAUCUAAAGACUGAAAACCUACCAGCACCAAUUACUUCGUAUUUUUAAAAACAUAGGAGCUCAAUUCAUAUUAUAUGAUCCAAAAUUUUUUAAGAUGAAUUAUAUGUUUGGUCCUCAAACUAUAAAGGUAACUAAUAUUUUGAUUCUCAAAUUUUAAUUUAUUAUAAUGUUUGCAAUUAGAUUUCACAAUUCAAUUUAGUUGGUUAAUUGGCACAUUAUCAAUUACAAUAUUACU